Molecule: long non-coding RNA, 1155 nt
Organism: Bos indicus x Bos taurus (hybrid cattle)
Lineage: Eukaryota; Metazoa; Chordata; Mammalia; Artiodactyla; Bovidae
Source: Ensembl
CUGGAGGCAUAUUUACUGCAGAUCAGUUUCCAGGUAACCACAGCUCCCUCGUCCAGGGGGCCUUGAAUCCAGGUAGUAGUUUCCUGAUACACAAGGAGAUGGAGAAGGGGGCCAUGCAUCCUCCCCCAGGAAGUAGGAGACGGAUUACAUCACUGCUGGUAAAAUGAGGGUAACAAUUGCCCUGGGUCAGGGCAAUCUCAGGGCUCCACCCAGCUCCAACCUGCUGGGCCAGGUGUGCCUCAGCCCUCGGGAAUGGACAAAAGGUGAGGCUUCCAAGCAGCACUGGCCAAACACUGGACCUCUAGUGAUGGCCCAGACGGGAGAAGAGAUGGAGACGUAUCACCAUCUAACCGGAGACUCUGGCCAUCUGCUCAUCCUUUCUGCCCCGAGACUGCGGAGCGUCUUGCCCUGGAGAAGGCACCUGUCAAUGAGGGUCGCCAACUUCAGCUCUGGGAGCGGGGCUGCGGUCUGCCGACAGAGCGUGGGCUGUGGUCUCACCCUGCAUGGGUCAGCUGUCCCUCUGGGAACAUACCUCUGAGUCCCACCUCUGGGUCCCUGGUCCCCAUCCUCCUCAUGCUCCCCAGCCAUGGCUCUCGUCCUGUCUCUCUCACCUCAUUCAGAGCCCUUUCCUUCCCAGAGGUGGUUGUUUUUUCAUCUUUGAGAUAAAGGCAGAGUAAGGGCAGAGACAGCCUGGGGUCACAAGGGUGACCACAACAGAGUGGAAUGUCUGUCAUUAAAUGUCUAGAACAGGGUGUAGUUUGAGGAGGAGGAGAGAGAAUCUCACUUCAGGUUUUUCGGUAAGUCUGGUUAUCUCCAAACCACCCAGCCAAGCAGGGCUUCAGUCCCACAAUGGAGUGGUGAUGGGCAAGAGAGGGAAGGCUAGAACUUAGGAUAUUUUUGCUUUACUUUGACGUCACUUGUGUCUUUGUUAGAUGGAGCCUUUAUCUCUGAUCUCACCUCACCUCCUGAGGGUAGUAAGUGUGUCCUGGAGGUCCAGGGGCUGUCCGGAGCAGUGGAAUCAGACCAUUUAGUGUCUGUGUGACCAUAAGCAAGUCACUGAAAGUGUUGGUCUCUCAGUCUUGUCCGACUCCUUGCGACCCCGUGGACUGGGACCUGCCAGGCUCCUUUGUCUAUGGAAUUCUCCAGGCAAGAAUU